This 253-nucleotide ribosomal RNA is filed under the name uncultured bacterium. RNAcentral describes it as "partial 16S ribosomal RNA". It matches the Rfam family "Bacterial small subunit ribosomal RNA", at positions 524 to 776 of the family's 1533-position model. The record is from RNAcentral.
UACGGGGGGAGCAAGCGUUGUUCGGAUUUACUGGGCGUAAAGGGCGCGUAGGCGGUAGCACAAGUCAGUUGUGAAAUCUCCGGGCUUAACUCGGAAAGGUCAACUGAUACUGUGCGACUAGAGUGCAGAAGGGGCAACUGGAAUUCUCGGUGUAGCGGUGAAAUGCGUAGAUAUCGAGAGGAACACCUGCGUCGAAGGCGGGUUGCUGGGCUGACACUGACGCUGAGGCGCGAAAGCCAGGGGAGCGAACGGG